Maniola jurtina (meadow brown) is the source of this 85-nucleotide long non-coding RNA. RefSeq lists it as uncharacterized. The record is from RefSeq and is a predicted model, not a curated record. The transcript is spliced from 3 exons. Lineage: Eukaryota; Metazoa; Arthropoda; Insecta; Lepidoptera; Nymphalidae.
AAUUCUCUACUUGCGAAAAUAUGCCUCUCUUGUCGAGAGUAAUAUUUUUGUUCCGUUUGCCGUGGAGACCCAGUGGCGAUGGCGU